This is a small nuclear RNA of Budorcas taxicolor (takin), 164 nucleotides long. RefSeq annotates it as U1 spliceosomal RNA. The transcript has a single exon. Lineage: Eukaryota; Metazoa; Chordata; Mammalia; Artiodactyla; Bovidae. The record is from RefSeq and is a predicted model, not a curated record.
AUACUUACCUGGCAAGGCAAAUACCGUGAUCACGAAGGUGAAUUUUCCAGAGCGAGGCUUAUUUAUUGCGCUCCGGAUGUGCUGAUUCCUACCAUUUCCCCAAACGUGGGAGACUCUACUGCAUAAUUUGUGAUAGUGGGGGACUGCGUUCGCGCUUUCCCUUG